This 332-nucleotide ribosomal RNA is filed under the name uncultured bacterium. RNAcentral's name for it is "bacterial SSU rRNA". It matches the Rfam family "Bacterial small subunit ribosomal RNA", at positions 568 to 898 of the family's 1533-position model. The record is from RNAcentral.
CGUGUAGGCGGGAGCGUGAGUCGGUCGUGAAAGCCUUCGGCUCAACCGAAGAAGGGCGGCCGAUACUGCGUUCCUUGAGGGGUGGAGAGGAGACUGGAAUUCCCGGUGUAGCGGUGAAAUGUGUAGAUAUCGGGAGGAACACCGGUGGCGAAGGCGGGUCUCUGGCCACACCCUGACGCUGAGGCGCGAAAGCGUGGGGAGCAAACGGGAUUAGAUACCCCGGUAGUCCACGCGGUAAACGAUGACGACUAGGUGUGGGGGGGUUCAGUCCCUUCCGUGCCGCAGCUAACGCAUUAAGUCGUCCGCCUGGGGAGUACGGCCGCAAGGUUGAA